This is a non-coding RNA of Podarcis lilfordi (Lilford's wall lizard), 4021 nucleotides long. The record is from the annotation of a GenBank genome assembly. Lineage: Eukaryota; Metazoa; Chordata; Lepidosauria; Squamata; Lacertidae.
AUUGUUUUUAUACCAAACCCCAACAUAUAAGGUUUAUUCACCAGAAUUAAAUAGGCGACUCUCAGUACUCAUUUAUCAUUUACAAAAGUAAAACUCAAACUGAAAUCAUUUUGGUAAUUCAGGUAUCCAAAUUGCUUGCAGCAAUUGUAGGAUGACAGCAGUUCUGUCUGAAGUUUGGUUGAUCCUACCCUGUGCUGAGGGAGUGGGGGGAACAGGAAAAUUCAUGAUAGAAAAGUACAUGCUUCUAGCAAAUCUCAGUGGAUGAAAGAAUCUAGAUUUUCCUUAGCAUACAGCAAGGACGAAGAAUGUGUUGUAAACCACACUGUGAUCCUUGGAUGAGGGGUGGCAUAGAAAUUCAAUAACUAAUUAACCAGCCAACUAACUAGCAAACUAACUAGCUAACUAACUAACUAACUAACUAAUAGUCAUAUCUCAUCAUCCCUGACCAUUGCCCAUCCCUUUGCCAGGGAUGCUGGUCUCCAAUAACACCUGAAGGUCCACAGCUUUCUCAUCCCUGGAGGAAGACCUCAGUUUGUGAUGUCGCUGACUGCUGCAGCCCUUGUUUCUUUUCUCUCACCCCUUUCUCUUGUUCGGUCUCUUCUCUCCCCCCCCCCCUUCUGCCCACUUAAGUUUUUAUAAAAUUGGUGGAUCAUUUCCUAACUAUGCAGUGGAUCUGGAGGCUCAAAUGGCUGUUUGAAAGGUCUGUGUUGUUUGUUCGUUGUUGUUUUCCCAGCAACUAUCAUCAGUCAAACAUUGUGUUGUUCCAGCAGCACUUCUCAUUUAGCCGGGAGGAAUAGCUUUAGGAUUGCUAAGUGUCUGGAGGGUGUUGGCUACUAAGACAUGUUUUUUAAGCAGGCCAUAAUAGUUUCUACAGCUGUUAACAGUUCCUAGAAGAAAGGCUGCAUUAUUCGCCUGUGUUUAAAAUGUGCAUGACUGGCAUUGCACAGAAGUCAGAUUGGGAGAAUGUCAUACCCCCCCCCCCUUUCUAAUUUAUGUUUUGGGAAACUUGGCCAGGAAAGACUUCAAUAACUAGAGAAAUUCUUUUCAAUCAACAUGUGGUACAUUGUAUUGUUAUAAUUGCUCAGACCUCACCAUGAAAGUUGUCUUUGUAUGUGUAGAUGUACAAUCUGUACUGUUUUGUUUUUUAUUUAUUCUGCAUUCUUUAUUCUAAUGUGUGUUCUUCUCCUUUUUUUCCUUCCAGGCCAGAAAGAUUGUUAUUGAGCUCUGCACAAAGCUGAAAUAAUGCUGUGUGUUAAAAAAUGUGAAGAAUUUGAAAAAGUUAUAAAAAUUUAUAAGUUGGCUCGAUGCUGAGGAAAUUUCUGCAUAUUUUAAUAUAAAUAGGUAAUGCAAAUAUUUGUUCUGUGCGUUCAGAGAUGCUCUCUGUUUUCCAAAAGUACUGGUAUUUAGUUCUGAUUCCGAUAAAGCAGUUGCAGUUCAUUUUCGCUGUUGAUUAAUGACCAAAAUGAAUGUCAUUCCAAAAGUCAUAGCACUGAUAUGGUUAAUUGCAUAAAGUACAGCAGUGAAGUGCAAAACAGAGAAUAGUUUCAAUGUGCAAACAGAUUCGCUGUGUACAAUUGACAUCUACCAACGUUAGGGCCGGCACUAUGCAGGCUUAAGAGGCAGCAGCUUGAGGGCAGUACACUUAAAAGGACACCUGCAGUGCUACAUGAACUCUACAUGAAUCAGCAGAGCAGCCCAGAGUCCUCAGUGACAUCAAAGAGAGACCCAGAAUGCACUUGCAGAUUUCACAGAGAUGCCCUGGCCUCAUUUAGUAACGCUGGUAAAAGUUCUUGAGCUGGCCCUGACUUAAAUGAAUGGAAACCGUCCCAUAGAAUUCAUGACAAUUUGCGCUCAUGAUGGUAUUGAGACUGUUAUACUGUUGCAUCUGUCAAUGUUUCAGGGCGGGCUUACUGUUCAUUGCAGGGCCCUUAGCUUUCUUCUGAAAUCUUGUAAUUUUUUAUACCACAUAUGUUCCAGGCAUGGUUUUCCCUCCACUUUGGUUGCACUAUAGUGCAGGAGUAAAAGUUCCACAUGGCAAUAAUGCAGUAACACUGGAGAAGCAUAACUACCAUAUUGGCCUGGAUAUAAGCCUCACUUUCCCCCAAAAUUCUGACUGUGAAAAGUUAAAGUGCUGCUUAUAUUCGCGACUGUACAGUAUACAGCCAGGGGCGUGGGGCAAACAGCGCCAGGAGCGUGGCACUGGGGCGCCCACCCUGUGCAUAUUCCCCGUCCUCUCCCCCAAGGCCAGGAAGUGAGAGAGCGAGGAAGGGGAAAGGCCACCAGCAACGUAGUAUGGCUCCCCUCCCCCCCAGUAUGCAGCCAGGAGCAGUGAGGAAUGGAGCGGCUUAUAUUCGGGUAUUUUUUCUUUUUUCCUCCCCCCCUCCCAAUUUUAAAGGUGCGGCUUAUGUUCGGGUGUGGCUUAUAUUUGGAUCAAUACGGUAAUACAGUGGAAUGGUGUGUGGACAGUCUGGUAUAAAUCCACCAUGAUUAUGCUAUUAUUGCAUCAAUCAUAGAAACAGAAUUGUAGAGCUGCACCCCUUGCCGGUGCAUUUUCAUUAUAGAUAUAUCAGUAGACAAGCAUGACAUUGGUGAUGCACAUUGACACAGCAGCUAUAAAAAUGGAGAGCCAUUAAGCGGAAAUCAUAGCCGAUUUAAGAGGUACACAACUAAAAACGUAAUGGGAGCUAGAUCUGGAAUGAGGAAGUAGGAGUUGUGAGUAAACAUGACAAGAGACAGUAUAGAUCUGGGCCACAAUUUCUCAGGAAAUAAUGUUCUGAUAACUUUUCUGGGAAUUUUCUUAGUCACCUCUUGAAUGUUUUUGAAUAUUCUAGGACAAUAAUACCACCACCACCUUUUGCUGUCCAUAAAUGUGGUGAAGAAUUUUGAGAAUUUGUUUUGUGCAAAUCUGAGAGAUCAAAAGAAUCUCCCUCUCUCCCUGUCUGAUUGAAGAGUGCCAAGAAUAGUUACAUACACAGCUGGAAAAGAAAUGGAAGGUUUGAGGAAGCAAUGGGCAAGGAAAUUUGAGUAGCAGAAAGUGACAACUGAGCCACUCUUCUAAAAACAAUGAAACAAAUCUCUCCUUUGAAGGGUAACACUGUGACCUCAAGUGGGGUACUCUGGAGCUCAAUUUGCCCAAAGAGGGCCAGGCCACCCAUGUGGCAAGGUGAUGUGAGUGCCUUAGGCAGCAGGAUCCACAGGGGCAGCAGAUCUGAGAUAUGAAGAACUACAGAAGGGAGAAAGGGGAAGUCCUGUUGUGCAAGCAGAAGUCUGUUCCACUGGUAGACAGACACAGAUAUCACCCAGUAUCACCUAGUUUGUUUGUGCUAAGCCACGGUUUAAUAAACAAUUGCUUCUUAAAGCAUGACUUAGUGUAACUCUGGUUUGUUUAUUGCCACCAAAUCCAUGGCUUACAAACUUUGGUUUGUUUUAAGUUUUUAACUAUGGCUUGGCAUUAUGUGUGAACACAAGCAGCCUUCCUUAACCAUGGUUUGUUUGGCCACUCUAUUGCAGAUGCUUGCCAAGCUACAAAGGCAAGAACAGAUGGAAAACAAACAUAAUUUGGAGAAGCAAGCUAUGGUUUGUUGAUCAUCCAUUAGACAACUCAUGGUUAACCACAAACCAUGGCUUAGAAUAAUGUGAAAGCCAGGCUAAAGUCUCAGGACUGGGAGAUCAGACAACCUAGAAUCCUAGAACUGUGGAGCUGGAAGGGACCCAAAGGAUCAUGGGAACUUGUGCCAUUAAACAACUGUUUUGUUCUGUUACUAAUACAUAUUCCGCACCCUUUUUUCCUGGAUUCAUAAUUAAGUGUGCACAUUUCCUUCCACCUCAUUUGAUUCUUUUUUCAUUUGUUGGGGUUUUAGUCCUUUGUAAUUUCCUAGUAGUGAGUUAGCGAUUGAGUGGGCUGGUUGUUGGUCUUGUGGCUGGAGAAGUUCAUCACAUUCUUGAAAUGGAAAAAAAGUUCUGUUAACAGUAACAUAAAAGAGAACUUCUCUCCAGCAGUGAAAAAGGAGAAGGAAACGGU